CUCUUCUCAGACCCAUAGCAGCAGAAACCCACACUGCAGGACUCCCACCUCGGACUGACUAAGUUACUUGCAAGUAUAUGUAAAUCUCAUCUCCUUGGAAAAAUGCUAAAUAAUAAAACUGCCAACGUGCAGACCCAGGCGCUCAUUUCCCUGCCAGUGUAGCUCAUGUACCUCUGGGAUGUGCAAGCCGAAACACGUGUGCACGUCUGAGCGGCUGAACCAACAUGUAUCCAUAAACAUUAUGAAUAAUACUCGCGAGAAUGUACGGCUUUCUCCUAAGUAGCGCUUGAAGCACUUUACCCAAAUCAAGUCCCUUUUGUAUCACUCCUUCCCUGCCUUUCCUACCUAUCACUCUCGUGCUGAAAGUUGGAGCUCCUUACCCAAAGACUGGGCGGAAAGGGUGACCGCCCUGGACCCCUGCCCGACUUCCCGUUAGGCCAAGCCGCUGUCCUGAAAGGGGAUCGUGUCCAGGCCGGCUUCCUGGAGACACACCUGCGCCUGCACACACCCACCGCGGUCGCGUCACCAGUGCCGCGGCCACGUGGACGAAGACCAAAGUCUGGAGGGAAUUCCCUCAGCCACAAAGCGAUGGGAAAGCGGGACCCGGUGGAGACCAGAGUCUUGCUAUGCUUUCCAGGCUGGUUUUGAACUCCUAGCCUCAAGCGAUUUUCCUGCCUCAGCUUCCCAAAGUGCUGGGAUUACAGGCACAAGCCACUGCACCCGGCCCUGUUGUUGUUAAGAAAAUUACAAGUUAAAUCUUGUACCAGUGAACAAGAUUAGGGAUCGUGAUGUGGAGCUGCACUUCCUGGUUCCAAAUCCUGGCUCUUCCCCUCAUCCCUGGGUAAGUUGAGGGAUGAGAGCAAGAGAAGGUUGAUCCUGACUCAGAUCUCUGCAUGGGGCAUGUCACUGAUGACGGCGGCAUUCCCUGAGAGAGGGAACACUAAGUUUGAAGUUGGGCAUAGUGAGCACUAUUUUGGAUGAGUUAAGUUUAGAAGUGCCUGAAGACAUCCAAGUGGAAGAAGUGGCUGCAUGGACUGAAGAUACAGACUGGGAAACGUUAACACCAUCAAGGAACUGGAGUCCUGGGCACAGAAUAUGCUGCAAAGGGAGAAGAAGGAAGACGUGUGGUAUGGAAUCACCUAUGGAUAAGGUUGAGAACCAUGGGCUAGAUGCUAUGGAGACCAACGUAUCACUUACUAGGCUUUACUUUGUGCCAGGCACUGGAUUCGGCAUUACCCCAUUUAAGCCUCACUACCAUCCUUCAUGUUACUAUUCCACGUUGCCGCUCAGGAGAAACAAAAUUUUUUUAUUAAAUUCAAGUAACCUGAGGUCCCAUAUUUAGUAAGAGGCAGAGGAGUUAGAUGUGUCAAUAGCUAAAUUACAUGGCUGUGUCCUCUAGCUGGCCAGGGACUGACAACAUCAGUAUCACCUGGUGACUCUCCCAGGGGAGAUGUUUUUAAAAAUCUUUUCCAGUAAUUCUGUGCAACAUGGCAAUCUGAAACCAGUCUUUCAGACCUGGAAGUUCUUUAGAGACCACAGGACUCUCUUUGAUAUUUUUUCUUUUGAAUUUUUUUAAAAUACAGAAUCCUUUUUCAUGUUCUCUGUUUAUAAAACAACUGCAUGUCAAUUACAUUAUUUUUUAGAAGAUAGGUACAAGAGCCAGGCGUGGUGGCUCAUGGCUGUAAUCACAACACUUUGGGAGGUCGAGGCAGGUGGAUCAUUUGAGGCUGGAAGUUCGAGACCAGCCUGGCCAACAUGGCAAAACCUGUCUCUACUAAAAAUAUAAAAAAUUAGCCUGGAGUAGUGGUGCAUGUCCCAGCUACUCGGGAGGCUGAGGCAUGAAAAUCGCUUGAACCCGGGAGGUGCAGGUUGCAGUGAGCCAAGAUCGCACCACUGCACUCCAGCCUGGGCAACAGAGCAAGACUGUGUCUUGACAGCAACAAAAAAAGAAGAUAGGUAUAGGAAUUAAAAAGAAAGCAAAUAAUUACUGGUAGCCUGACCACUAAGAGAUAUAUACUGAUAUUUUUUUUGCGGGGGGUGCAUCUCCUUGCAGGCCUUUUUGUAUGUUUAUGUUCAAACACAUUUGUAACAACAAUGAAUAAAAAACGCAUAAUAUUCAAUGACUUUU
Molecule: long non-coding RNA, 2128 nt
Filed under: Homo sapiens (human)
Lineage: Eukaryota; Metazoa; Chordata; Mammalia; Primates; Hominidae
Description: non-protein coding lnc-TMEM30B-1:7
Source: RNAcentral